Molecule: ribosomal RNA, 165 nt
Filed under: Escherichia coli
Lineage: Bacteria; Pseudomonadati; Pseudomonadota; Gammaproteobacteria; Enterobacterales; Enterobacteriaceae
Description: partial 16S ribosomal RNA
Rfam family: Bacterial small subunit ribosomal RNA
Source: RNAcentral
CUUUUACAAUGAAGAGUUUGAUCCUGGCUCAGGAUGAACGCUAGCUACAGGCUUAACACAUGCAAGUCGAGGGGCAUCAGGAAGAAAGCUUGCUUUCUUUGCUGGCGACCGGCGCACGGGUGAGUAACACGUAUCCAACCUGCCCUUUACUCGGGGAUAGCCUUU